This 397-nucleotide long non-coding RNA is filed under the name Paramuricea clavata. The record is from RNAcentral. Lineage: Eukaryota; Metazoa; Cnidaria; Anthozoa; Malacalcyonacea; Plexauridae.
AAAAAAAGGUAAUCGAACUUCAGCGCGCUAUUAUACGUGAAUUACUCGGCGUAUGAGCAAUUGGUUUUCAUAUUCGGAAAGAUCAGGCUUUUAGCUAUUGAAUGACAUGCUUUUCAUGACAAGUGGAGAAAAAAUAAGCAUGUACGAGGCCGAUUAAAAACGUUAGUCAAAAUCGCAUAUUUUCACCUCUGUGCCUAAUUAAAACAAUGCAUAACAAAAGAAAAAGCAAUUAAUCACGAACGUGUCGUAGCUUAGCUAAGAUUUAUUCCUACUUAAUAAUAAUUAUGAAUAUGUGUGCAGUUUAAUGAAGUGAAAUUCAUCAACUUAAGUCCUAAAGGGGGUUCAUUUUCAAUGGUUUUAGACCCAACUCUCAACGGUGAAAAUAUGCGAUUCUGAC